Long non-coding RNA from Puntigrus tetrazona (Sumatra barb), 562 nucleotides. RefSeq lists it as uncharacterized. Lineage: Eukaryota; Metazoa; Chordata; Actinopteri; Cypriniformes; Cyprinidae. The record is from RefSeq and is a predicted model, not a curated record. The transcript has 3 exons.
CCGUGAGAGAGGUACUGAGGCCUGUUUCAUUGGUGUUCCGGAGCAUUGAGGCAGUCAACCAGAUUUAUACAGCCUCAGUGACGGAGCACAUUAUUGAUGGGAAGCUUCUCUAAGCCAUCAGUCAGAUGCGUCACAAAACCUCUCAAAGAGUAUUAAACUGGAAGGAUACUGAUAUCUUGCGAGCAGCUGGAGCAUUUGUUUGAAAGAUCAUUAUUUCUUUCUCGGAUCCAGCGAAGGAUUUCUACAUGCUGCCAUUUGACUUCAACAUCUCCCAGCCAUUAAAAAGUACUAGAAACACUCAGUGCACAAACAAACUCAGACCCUCACGUAUCCCACCCAACCAAAGUUCAGAUCAACAUCCAACAAAAUCUGACAAUACUGAUACAUUGCUCCAACAGCAUUUGUAACAAAUCACAGUUCACAACAUACAAGCACAAUAUGACUCAAUAUAUGUGUGUCCCCUUAUCAUAGGUUAUGCUAUGAAUUCCUCUAAGAUCCCAGGCUGUAUAAAACAUCCUCAAUCAAGCCCUGUUUUACUAACCAGUUUAUCAGCAAAAAUAUA